RNAcentral lists this ribosomal RNA (646 nucleotides) under bacterium JL1-28. Its description in RNAcentral is "bacterial SSU rRNA". It matches the Rfam family "Bacterial small subunit ribosomal RNA", at positions 338 to 974 of the family's 1533-position model. The record is from RNAcentral.
CCUACGGGAGGCAGCAGUAGGGAAUCUUCCGCAAUGGACGAAAGUCUGACGGAGCAACGCCGCGUGAGUGAUGAAGGUUUUCGGAUCGUAAAGCUCUGUUGUUAGGGAAGAACAAGUGCCGUUCAAAUAGGGCGGCACCUUGACGGUACCUAACCAGAAAGCCACGGCUAACUACGUGCCAGCAGCCGCGGUAAUACGUAGGUGGCAAGCGUUGUCCGGAAUUAUUGGGCGUAAAGGGCUCGCAGGCGGUUUCUUAAGUCUGAUGUGAAAGCCCCCGGCUCAACCGGGGAGGGUCAUUGGAAACUGGGGAACUUGAGUGCAGAAGAGGAGAGUGGAAUUCCACGUGUAGCGGUGAAAUGCGUAGAGAUGUGGAGGAACACCAGUGGCGAAGGCGACUCUCUGGUCUGUAACUGACGCUGAGGAGCGAAAGCGUGGGGAGCGAACAGGAUUAGAUACCCUGGUAGUCCACGCCGUAAACGAUGAGUGCUAAGUGUUAGGGGGUUUCCGCCCCUUAGUGCUGCAGCUAACGCAUUAAGCACUCCGCCUGGGGAGUACGGUCGCAAGACUGAAACUCAAAGGAAUUGACGGGGGCCCGCACAAGCGGUGGAGCAUGUGGUUUAAUUCGAAGCAACGCGAAGAACCUUAC